Molecule: ribosomal RNA, 253 nt
Filed under: uncultured bacterium
Lineage: Bacteria
Description: partial 16S ribosomal RNA
Rfam family: Bacterial small subunit ribosomal RNA
Source: RNAcentral
GACAGAGGGUGCAAACGUUGUUCGGAAUUACUGGGCGUAAAGCGCGUGUAGGCGGCCCUGCAAGUCGGAUGUGAAAUCCCACGGCUCAACCGUGGAAGUGCAUUCGAAACUGCAGGGCUAGAGUCCUGGAGAGGAAGGCGGAAUUCUCGGUGUAGAGGUGAAAUUCGUAGAUAUCGAGAGGAACACCGGUGGCGAAGGCGGCCUUCUGGACAGUGACUGACGCUGAGACGCGAAAGCGUGGGGAGCGAACAGG